This 113-nucleotide ribosomal RNA is filed under the name Fundulus heteroclitus (mummichog). Lineage: Eukaryota; Metazoa; Chordata; Actinopteri; Cyprinodontiformes; Fundulidae. The record is from RNAcentral.
GGUUACGGUCACACUGCUCUGAAUAUGCCUGAUCUCAGCUGCUAAGCCGAGUCGGGCCUGGUUAGUACUAGGAUGGGAGACCGCCUGGGAAUGAAUACCAGGUGCUGUAAGCU